This 254-nucleotide ribosomal RNA is filed under the name uncultured bacterium. RNAcentral's name for it is "partial 16S ribosomal RNA". It matches the Rfam family "Bacterial small subunit ribosomal RNA", at positions 524 to 776 of the family's 1533-position model. The record is from RNAcentral.
UACAGAGGGUGCAAGCGUUGCUCGGAAUUAUUGGGCGUAAAGAGCUCGUAGGCGGUGUGUCGCGUCGGCCGUGAAAACCUGCAGCUUAACUGUGGGCGUGCGGUCGAUACGGGCAUCACUGGAGUUCGGCAGGGGAGACUGGAAUUCCUGGUGUAGCGGUGAAAUGCGCAGAUAUCAGGAGGAACACCGGUGGCGAAGGCGGGUCUCUGGGCCGAUACUGACGCUGAGGAGCGAAAGCGUGGGGAGCGAACAGG